This 216-nucleotide ribosomal RNA is filed under the name Glomeromycotina sp. Its description in RNAcentral is "partial small subunit ribosomal RNA". The stretch from base 40 to 216 matches the Rfam family "Eukaryotic small subunit ribosomal RNA", at positions 686 to 864 of the family's 1831-position model. Lineage: Eukaryota; Fungi; Glomeromycota. The record is from RNAcentral.
GGGUCAGUAGGUUGGUCGUGCCACCGGUACGUACUGGUCUUACUGAUUCCUCCUUCCUGAAGAACCGUAAUGCCAUUAAUUUGGUGUUGCGGGGAAGCAGGACUGUUACUUUGAAAAAAUUAGAGUGUUUAAAGCAAGCUAACGCUUGAAUACAUUAGCAUGGAAUAAUGAAAUAGGACGAUCGAUCCUAUUUUGUUGGUUUCUAGGAUUGACGUA